This 559-nucleotide ribosomal RNA is filed under the name Salmonella enterica. RNAcentral describes it as "partial 23S ribosomal RNA". It matches the Rfam family "Bacterial large subunit ribosomal RNA", at positions 630 to 1190 of the family's 2925-position model. The record is from RNAcentral. Lineage: Bacteria; Pseudomonadati; Pseudomonadota; Gammaproteobacteria; Enterobacterales; Enterobacteriaceae. RNAcentral also lists the same sequence under 1 other name.
AUAUUCUGUAGCAAGGUUAACCGUAUAGGGGAGCCGUAGGGAAACCGAGUCUUAACCGGGCGUUAAGUUGCAGGGUAUAGACCCGAAACCCGGUGAUCUAGCCAUGGGCAGGUUGAAGGUUGGGUAACACUAACUGGAGGACCGAACCGACUAAUGUUGAAAAAUUAGCGGAUGACCUGUGGCUGGGGGUGAAAGGCCAAUCAAACCGGGAGAUAGCUGGUUCUCCCCGAAAGCUAUUUAGGUAGCGCCUCGUGAAUUCAUCUCCGGGGGUAGAGCACUGUUUCGGCUAGGGGGCCAUCCCGGCUUACCAACCCGAUGCAAACUGCGAAUACCGGAGAAUGUUAUCACGGGAGACACACGGCGGGUGCUAACGUCCGUCGUGAAGAGGGAAACAACCCAGACCGCCAGCUAAGGUCCCAAAGUCAUGGUUAAGUGGGAAACGAUGUGGGAAGGCCCAGACAGCCAGGAUGUUGGCUUAGAAGCAGCCAUCAUUUAAAGAAAGCGUAAUAGCUCACUGGUCGAGUCGGCCUGCGCGGAAGAUGUAACGGGGCUAAACCAU